RNAcentral lists this ribosomal RNA (496 nucleotides) under uncultured bacterium. RNAcentral describes it as "partial 16S ribosomal RNA". It matches the Rfam family "Bacterial small subunit ribosomal RNA", at positions 28 to 507 of the family's 1533-position model. The record is from RNAcentral.
GAUGAGCGCUGGCGGCGUGCCUAAUACAUGCAAGUCGAGCGAACGGACGAGAAGCUUGCUUCUCUGAUGUUAGCGGCGGACGGGUGAGUAACACGUGGAUAACCUACCUAUAAGACUGGGAUAACUUCGGGAAACCGGAGCUAAUACCGGAUGAUAUUUUGAACCGCAUGGUUCAAAAGUGAAAGACGGUCUUGCUGUCACUUAUAGAUGGAUCCGCGCUGCAUUAGCUAGUUGGUAAGGUAACGGCUUACCAAGGCAACGAUGCAUAGCCGACCUGAGAGGGUGAUAGGCCACACUGGAACUGAGACACGGUCCAGACGCCGACGGGAGGCAGCGUAGGGAAUCUUCCGCAAUGGGCGAAAGCCUGACGGAGCAACGCCGCGUGAGUGAUGAAGGUCUUCGGAUCGUAAAACUCUGUUAUUAGGGAAGAACAUAUGUGUAAGUAACUGUGCACAUCUUGACGGUACCUAAUCAGAAAGCCACGGCUAACUACGUG